GACGAACGCUGGCGGCGUGCUUAACACAUGCAAGUCGAACGAAGAGCGACGGAAGCUUGCUUCUAUCACUCUUAGUGGCGAACGGGUGAGUAACGCGUAAUCAACCUGCCCUUCAGAGGGGGACAACAGUUGGAAACGACUGCUAAUACCGCAUACGAUCUAAUCUCGGCAUCGAGGAUGGAUGAAAGGUGGCCUCUACAUGUAAGCUAUCACUGAAGGAGGGGAUUGCGUCUGAUUAGCUAGUUGGAGGGGUAACGGCCCACCAAGGCGAUGAUCAGUAGCCGGUCUGGGAGGAUGAACGGCCACAUUGGGACUGAGACACGGCCCAGACUCCUACGGGAGGCAGCAGUGGGGAAUCUUCCGCAAUGGACGAAAGUCUGACGGAGCAACGCCGCGUGAGGGAUGACGGCCUUCGGGUUGUAAAGCUCUGUUAAUCGGGACGAAAGGCCUUCUUGCGAAUAGUGAGAAGGAUUGACGGUACCGGAAUAGAAAGCCACGGCUAACUACGUG
RNAcentral lists this ribosomal RNA (510 nucleotides) under uncultured bacterium. RNAcentral's name for it is "partial 16S ribosomal RNA". It matches the Rfam family "Bacterial small subunit ribosomal RNA", at positions 28 to 507 of the family's 1533-position model. The record is from RNAcentral.